This 253-nucleotide ribosomal RNA is filed under the name uncultured Gardnerella sp. RNAcentral's name for it is "partial 16S ribosomal RNA". It matches the Rfam family "Bacterial small subunit ribosomal RNA", at positions 103 to 355 of the family's 1533-position model. Lineage: Bacteria; Bacillati; Actinomycetota; Actinomycetes; Bifidobacteriales; Bifidobacteriaceae. The record is from RNAcentral.
CGGGUGAGUAAUGCGUGACCAACCUGCCCCAUGCUCCAGAAUAGCUCUUGGAAACGGGUGGUAAUGCUGGAUGCUCCAACUUGACGCAUGUCUUGUUGGGAAAGUGUUUAGUGGCAUGGGAUGGGGUCGCGUCCUAUCAGCUUGUAGGCGGGGUAAUGGCCCACCUAGGCUUCGACGGGUAGCCGGCCUGAGAGGGCGGACGGCCACAUUGGGACUGAGAUACGGCCCAGACUCCUACGGGGAGGCAGCAGCC